AGCAGGAGCAGACAGGUGUACUCCGGAGCUGGGCUUCAAUCCUGGGCGACGUUUAGCUUGUUUUUAUUCUGUAUUUUUAGCAUCGCUUGCUUUAUAGGUUCCUUCAGUGGAGUUGGAUCAUAAACCCUUCGGUCCCUCCUCUGCCAUGGUACAGUCAUUAAACGUGCUUAUCUCUGUCCAUUGCCGCGGGGAGGGUGUUAUUGGUGGAUUAUUAUCUCGUUCCUGGAAGCUGCGUUCACCUGUUUUACCUUCACAUUAUCUGCUUGCUGCACAGAAACCUUCUCCGGAGUCUUGUGCUCUCAGUAGCCCAGG
Molecule: non-coding RNA, 312 nt
Organism: Pelobates cultripes (western spadefoot toad)
Lineage: Eukaryota; Metazoa; Chordata; Amphibia; Anura; Pelobatidae
Source: the annotation of a GenBank genome assembly